GCGGCUGUGCUGGAAUUGGCAGACAGGCAAGCUUGAGGUGCUUGUGUCCGCAGGGCGUACGGGUUCGAGUCCCGUUGGCCGCACCA
RNAcentral lists this transfer RNA (86 nucleotides) under Bacillota bacterium. RNAcentral's name for it is "tRNA-Leu". It matches the Rfam family "tRNA". Rfam says of the family: Transfer RNA (tRNA) molecules are approximately 80 nucleotides in length. Their secondary structure includes four short double-helical elements and three loops (D, anti-codon, and T loops). Further hydrogen bonds mediate the characteristic L-shaped molecular structure. tRNAs have two regions of fundamental functional importance: the anti-codon, which is responsible for specific mRNA codon recognition, and the 3' end, to which the tRNAs corresponding amino acid is attached (by aminoacyl-tRNA synthetases). tRNAs cope with the degeneracy of the genetic code in two manners: having more than one tRNA (with a specific anti-codon) for a particular amino acid; and 'wobble' base-pairing, i.e. permitting non-standard base-pairing at the 3rd anti-codon position. Lineage: Bacteria; Bacillati; Bacillota. The record is from RNAcentral. RNAcentral also lists the same sequence under 2 other names.